AUGUUUUCACGCGUGAAUUCAGUAUAAAACGACGGUGCGCUUUGUUAUUACAGUAUAACAUCAAGUUCACGUCGAUAACACUUGAGAUUUUUGUGUUUUUGAAGAAAAAUGAAAUUUACGUUGAUUUUUGCGCUUGUUUUGAUUGUUUUGGCUGUGCUUACUGGACAAUGCGAAGGACGAUGGAAAGCAUGGAAGAAAAUAGAAAACAAAGCUAAAAAGGGAUGGAAAGUUGUAAAAGAAGUCGCGCCUGUUGCUGGAACUAUCGCUGCGGUUUCCUCACUCGGAAAAAAAUAAAAAAAUAAAAAAAUAAAAUUAUUUUAAUUAA
This is a long non-coding RNA of Dalotia coriaria, 325 nucleotides long. RefSeq lists it as uncharacterized. The transcript is spliced from 2 exons. The record is from RefSeq and is a predicted model, not a curated record. NCBI's taxonomy places the organism in Eukaryota, Metazoa, Arthropoda, Insecta, Coleoptera, Staphylinidae.